UGUGCAAGUGACGAUGAAAAGACAGGGACAUCAGAAAACCUCCUGUUUGGAGAAUGAGAAUGAUGACUAAUGUCUAAAUGGGAAUCUCUCUGAUGCACA
Molecule: small nucleolar RNA, 99 nt
Organism: Eutrema salsugineum
Lineage: Eukaryota; Viridiplantae; Streptophyta; Magnoliopsida; Brassicales; Brassicaceae
Rfam family: Small nucleolar RNA R44/J54/Z268 family
About the family: R44, J54 and Z268 are members of the C/D class of snoRNA which contain the C (UGAUGA) and D (CUGA) box motifs. Most of the members of the box C/D family function in directing site-specific 2'-O-methylation of substrate RNAs.
Source: Rfam